Molecule: transfer RNA, 85 nt
Filed under: Candidatus Undinarchaeales archaeon
Lineage: Archaea; Nanobdellati; Candidatus Undinarchaeota; Candidatus Undinarchaeia; Candidatus Undinarchaeales
Description: tRNA-Ser
Rfam family: tRNA
About the family: Transfer RNA (tRNA) molecules are approximately 80 nucleotides in length.
Source: RNAcentral
GCCGGGGUAGCGGAGCCAGGCUAACGCGCCAGACUCGAGAUCUGGUGGUGCUUGCACCACAAGGGUUCAAAUCCCUUCCCCGGCG